This 505-nucleotide ribosomal RNA is filed under the name uncultured bacterium. Its description in RNAcentral is "partial 16S ribosomal RNA". It matches the Rfam family "Bacterial small subunit ribosomal RNA", at positions 30 to 523 of the family's 1533-position model. The record is from RNAcentral.
UUGAACGCUGGCGGCAUGCUUAACACAUGCGUGUCGAACGGCAGCAUGGUCUAGCUUGCUAGACUGAUGGCGAGUGGCGCACGGGUGAGUAACGCGUAGGAAUAUACCUUAAAGAGGGGGACAACUUGGGGAAACUCAAGAUAAUACCGCAUGAACUCUGAGGAGUAAAGCUGGGGACAGAACGGCCUGGCGCUUUAAGCAUAUCCUGCGUCCGAUUAGCUAGGUGGUGGGGUAAGGGGCUACCAAGGCGACGGUCGGUAGCUGGUCUGAGAGGAUGAUCAGCGACACUGGAACGGAGACACGGUCCAGACUCCUUCGGGAGGCAGCAGUGGGGAAUAUUGGACAAUGGGGGGCAACCUGAUCCAGCAAGGCCGCGUGUGUGAAGAAGGCCUGAGGGUUGUAAAGCACUUUCGGUGGGGAGGAGGAUUUAUUGGUUAAGAGCUGAUGAAUUGGACGCUACCUACAGAAGAAGCACCGGCUAACUCCGUGCCAGCCGCCGCAGUAA